This is a long non-coding RNA of Salvelinus fontinalis (brook trout), 841 nucleotides long. RefSeq lists it as uncharacterized. The transcript has 3 exons. The record is from RefSeq and is a predicted model, not a curated record. Lineage: Eukaryota; Metazoa; Chordata; Actinopteri; Salmoniformes; Salmonidae.
GGGGAGGUUGUAUCCUAGACCAAACAGCCUGGACAUCUGGGGAGAUUGUAUCCUAGACCAAACAGCCUGGACAUCUGGGGAGGUUGUAUCCUAGACCAAACAGCCUGGACAUCUGGGGAGGUUGUAUCCUAGACCAAACAGCCUAGACCAGACAUCUGGGGAGGUUGUAUCCUAGACCAAACAGCCUGGACAUCUGGGGAGGUUGUAUCCUAGACCAAACAGCCUGGACAUCUGGGGAGGUUGUAUCCUAGACCAAACAGCCUGGACAUCUGGGGAGGUUGUAUCCUAGACCAAACAGCCUGGACAUCUGGGGAGGUUGUAUCCUAGACCAAACAGCCUGGACAUCUGGGGAGGUUGUAUCCUAGACCAAACAGCCUGGACAUCUGGGGAGGUUGUAUCCUAGACCAAACAGCCUGGACAUCUGGGGAGGUUGUAUCCUAGACCAAACAGCCUGGACAUCUGGGGAGGUUGUAUCCUAGACCAAACAGCCUGGACAUCUGGGGAGGUUGUAUCCUAGACCAAACAGCCUGGACAUCUGGGGAGGUUGUAUCCUAGACCAAACAGCCUGGACAUCUGGGGAGGUUGUAUCCUAGACCAAACAGCCUGGACAUCUGGGGAGGUUGUAUCCUAGACCAAACAGCCUGGACAUCUGGGGAGGUUGUAUCCUAGACCAAACAGCCUGGACAUCUGGGGAGGUUGUAUCCUAGACCAAACAGCCUGGACCAGACAUCUGGGGAGGUUGUAUCCUAGACCAAACAGCCUGGACAUCUGGGGAGAUUGUAUCCUAGACCAAACAGCCUGGACCAGACAUCUGGGGAGGUUGUACCCUAGACCAAACAGC